CCUACGGGUGGCUGCAGUGAGGAAUAUUGGUCAAUGGCCGUAAGGCUGAACCAGCCAAGUCGCGUGAAGGAUGAAGGAUCUAUGGUUUGUAAACUUCUUUUAUCGGGGAAUAAAGGUAUCCACGUGUGGAUAUUUGCAUGUAACCUAUGAAUAAGCAUCGGCUAACUCCGUGCCAGCAGCCGCGGUAAUACGGAGGAUGCGAGAGUUAUCCGGAUUUAUUGGUUUUAAAGGGUGCCUAGGUUGUUUUUUAAGGUAGGGGUGAAAGUUUGUGGCUCAACCAUAAUAUUGCCGUUGAAACUGGAAGACUUGAGUGUGUUUGAGGUAGGCGGAAUGCGUGGUGUAGCGGUGAAAUGCAUAGAUAUCACGCAGAACUCCGAUUGCGAAGGCAGCUUACCAAGCCAUAACUGACACUGAAGCACGAAAGCGUGGGGAUCAAACAGGAUUAGAUACCCUUGUAGUC
RNAcentral lists this ribosomal RNA (460 nucleotides) under uncultured bacterium. RNAcentral's name for it is "partial 16S ribosomal RNA". It matches the Rfam family "Bacterial small subunit ribosomal RNA", at positions 338 to 795 of the family's 1533-position model. The record is from RNAcentral.